ACAUUGUCAGAAACCGCCUAAAAAACCGCCCAAAAACAUUAACCCAUCAUAAUUAUUUUCUAUUUUUUUUAAUACAUUAAGCACCCUUUCAUUCUAAUGGACACUUAAGCAUUGAAAAAUUAAAUAAAUAAGUCUUUUAACGUUUAUUCUAUAAUACUAUUACAACUUCCGGACGUUUUGGUGCGUGGCAUGGUCUAAAACCUAUCAAGUUCCAUAAUUUUUGCCGAUAAAAUCUGUACGAGGCAUUACCGUACUUUAUUGCUGGGAGUCCAUGUAUAGUGAUGUUCCUGCGGCCAUCAUAGACAAUAAAAUAUCGAUUUUGAAAAUAAAAUAAAUCGAUUAAACUGCUUUGAAGACUAGAUUUGCGUUAAAAGCUAAAAAGAUAUUGACAGUUUGACACUAUUACAAGAAGAUAUCUAAAGUGUCCAACUGGUCGAAGGUCGUAAAUAAAAUAAAAAUAAUUAGGACCAUAAACUGAUAUUCAUGGUAUCAUAACUGUAAAAGUGUCAGAAUCCGAUGUUGAAUCCAAUGCCAGUUGAAGUGUGAGAAACAUAUAUAUUUUUUUUUUAUGUGACAGGAGGCAAAUGAGCAGACGGAUCACCUGAUAUCAACCUAGUAUAGUUGCCAGUCUCUCAUAAUCUAUGCCAAUGAGGGUUUUCGCGAUUGAAAAAUCCGCCAGAUGGCAAUACGUAGACGUGAGGUCCAAAUGCUGCAUGAUUGGUUAUUUUUGACAUGACAUUGACAGAUAUCCACCAAUCAUGCAGCAUUUGGACCUCGCGUCUACGUAUUGCCAUCUCGCGGAUUUUUCAAUCGCGAAAACCCUCAUUCAUAGCACAUGUAUAAUAAUAGACCAAAUGAACUUUUAUAGAUUGUGAAAGAGAAGAUAAAGAUUUUAUUAUUUUAUUAAAAUCUUGCCACGAGGUAGUUUUUCAGUAGAAACCAGGAUUGGAUAAUCGCUACAGGCAAGUAUCAGAACAUUUUAUAAAUAUUUUUAAUCGAUUAUAUCCAUGUGAAUCGUUUUAAUAAAUUGUCAUUUUACUUUUUCAAUUAAAACUUUUUCAAUCCCUAGUCUUGUCAAACUGUCAUAAUGUCAACAAAUUAUAAAUGUCACGUCAGUUGACUCAAUUUCAGUCUUCUGUGCGUUUAUUGUAUUUUUAUUUCAAUGAAAUAGUGCUAAAGGGUUAGUACUAAAACUGAAAGCCUUUUUUCAGAAAGAAAACCAAUGUGGUGCCCUUAUUAUUCAUGCUGUUUGAAAGUUACAAGUCAGUGAUACAGAGUUGCCGACAUUAUAACUCCGUAGUGAUACCAUACCAAAGAAGAAGUUUUCCUAAACACUUGUGUUGUUUUUAUAUGUGAUCGAAUAAAAAGGAUUAAUUCUACUGCUCAAAUGGAAUAACUUAUCCCAAGAGACCGAAUAUAAAAAAACCUCUCCAUAGAAAUUAUCACCAUCACGAGGAUGUGAAUUUUUUUGAGAAUUUGAUAUUGGUCCUGUAAGAAAAGUAGUUGUAUUUCAGUAGUAGAAUCAACCCUUCUUGUUUCAUCAGCAAGAGUAACUAUAAAAACGCCCUGUAGGUAGGUAUUAUUAAGCUGAAGAGUUUGUUUAGUGUCAAAGACUGUCACACAGUGUAACUUAAAUUGGCAUAUUAUGAUAAUGAACAUAAAAACUUAAAUAAAUAUUUAUGUUAAUA
This is a long non-coding RNA of Ostrinia nubilalis (European corn borer), 1688 nucleotides long. RefSeq lists it as uncharacterized. The transcript has 2 exons. NCBI's taxonomy places the organism in Eukaryota, Metazoa, Arthropoda, Insecta, Lepidoptera, Crambidae. The record is from RefSeq and is a predicted model, not a curated record.